Molecule: long non-coding RNA, 1387 nt
Filed under: Bos indicus x Bos taurus (hybrid cattle)
Lineage: Eukaryota; Metazoa; Chordata; Mammalia; Artiodactyla; Bovidae
Description: lncRNA (ENSBIXG00005005180.1)
Source: RNAcentral
UCCCCGGCAGGAGCGGGUGCGCGCCAAGGGGGUGGGUCGCCCAGGCCCGGCUGGCCUGGCGCGCGGUCCGAGCCACUCAGAGCGCCCGGCGGCCGACACCCGGGGGCCCUACAAUUAAUACCCGGCGCCCGCCCGCCGCUCCGGGACUCGCGCGCCCGCUCUCGGGGAAGGAGGCGCUCGCUGGGCCCUGACCCUCUUCGCAACUCGUCUGCUCUUGCAGCUGUGGCGACGGAGCUCCGGACAGACCCUCUUGAGCCCCUCGCCGAGAGCCAGCUCGCGCAAGGACCAGUGUUCCACGCCCCCGCCACCCUCGUCACCGCGGGGAACUCUGCGCCGGCGGCAGGCAGGUGGGCGAGCGCGCCGGCUAGGAAGACUUCGAGUAGAUGAGCUGGAAGACUGGGAGAGCUGAGACAGGAAGAUUUUGAGGUCAUUCUCCAUCUGAAGCUAUGAUUUAAACAUCAGCAUUACGGUCAGUAUUUAGAGAGAAAUAGAACCAUUCUGAGGUUAUAUACACAUCAUUGGUUUUGCCUGAAAUUCUGAGAAUAUGAUAAAGGACGUUGUGAGGGGUGAGUUUGUUUCAAUCACAUUCAACAAAGCAGAGCUCUGAGAAAAGUAAAGGUAUCUCAGUGAUAAGUUGUGGGACCACAAACAUCCAGGGGGAGAACCAUUCUGACACAGUAGCCGUGUGUUCCAGUGUGUAAAAGAAAAGCCAAGUUUAAUAUAUUGGAGUUUCCUUUUUGAACUGGGCUGUGGACAUGACAAAGCUUUUAUGGACUCUGAGUUAGACUUUUAGUGUGUGUGUAUUUUUUUUUUUUAAGUCUUUAUUUUUUUAAGUCUUUAUUGAAUUAGUUGCAAUAUUGCUUCCGUUUAAUGGUUUGUUUCUUUGGCCUUGAGGCAUGUGGAUCUUAGCUGCCCAACCAGGGUUUGAACCUGCACCCCCUGCGUUGGAAGGCAAAGUCCCAACCACUGGACCACCAGCAAAGUCCCUGAGUUAAGACUCUUUAGAGGAAGGUGGGGCCAGGCAUUGCAAGGGCAACAGAAGCAUCUUUCUGGGGACUGUGCUGUCUGUCCUGUUGCUCUGGGGCAGGAUUUCUCAAAAUGUGUUCCAUAGAACACACUUCUCUAAGCUAUUAACGCACUGAGGACAGGGCCGUGAAGAUGGGUCUGUGCUACAGUGAGUUUGAAAAACAUUCAAUAACCUUCCUUCCUAAAGAGUCUCAGAAAUGGUUGAGUCUUGUGACUCUCCAUGGGCGUGUGGUUGGCAAGGCUCACCGGAGUCCCGUGGAGCUCUUACACGGCAUCCUAAGUCCAAUGUUUAUGUGUUCAUUAAGUAUGUAUUAACACCUGCCACGUCCAUGUUAGAUGCUAAAAAUACAGCAGUAAAUGA